This 398-nucleotide ribosomal RNA is filed under the name uncultured bacterium. Its description in RNAcentral is "partial 16S ribosomal RNA". It matches the Rfam family "Bacterial small subunit ribosomal RNA", at positions 363 to 776 of the family's 1533-position model. The record is from RNAcentral.
AUUGCACAAUGGGGGAAACCCUGAUGCAGCGACGCCGCGUGGGCGAAGAAGUAUUUCGGUAUNUAAAGCCCUAUCAGCAGGGAAGNNGCNNNGNCGGUACCUGAGUAAGAAGCACCGGCUAAAUACGUGCNNNCNGCCGCGGUAAUACGUAUGGUGCAAGCGUUAUCCGGAUUUACUGGGUGUAAAGGGAGCGCAGGCGGCACGGCAAGCCUGAUGUGAAAGCCCGCGGCCCAACCGCGGGACUGCAUUGGGAACUACCGGGCUGGAGUGCCGGAGAGGUAGGCGGAAUUCCUAGUGUAGCGGUGAAAUGCGUAGAUAUUAGGAGGAACACCAGUGGCGAAGGCGGCCUACUGGACGGUGACUGACGCUGAGGCUCGAAAGCGUGGGGAGCAAACAGG